GGUAAUCGUAUUUUCCUUCGAAUUUCACCCAUGAAGCGUCUGAUGAGAUGUGGGAAGAAGGGCAAGCUUAGCCCCAGGUAUAUUGGUCUAUUUGAGAUUUUUUGGACCACUUGUGAUGUGGCUUAUAAGUUGGCUUUGGUCCCUAAUGUAUCAACUGUUCAUCCAAUUUUUCAUGUUUCUAUGCUUCGUCGUUAUAUUCCAGAUGAGUCUCAUGUCAUUCUUUAGGAGUCGGUUCAGUAAGAUGAGUGGGUAUCCUUUGUUGAGGAGCCAGUUUCCAUUUUGGUUAGGGAUGUUAGGCGUUUGUACUCUAGAGUUAUUCUUGUGGUUAAGGUUUAGUGGCGACAUCGAUCUGUAGAUAAAGCUACUUGGGAGGUGGAGUCUGAUAUGCAUAGUUUUUAUCCCCCAGCUCUUUGUUGAUUCUGGUAUUUCUUUUGCGUUAGUUUGAGGACGAACUGUAUUUUUAGUAGUGGAUGAUGUAACGAUCUAAACAUUUGAUAAAAUAUGUGAAAUUUAUGAUUUUGUGUGAUUUGACUGCCUCCCUGCAGUUGUAUUAUAAUAUUUCUGAGGUGUGGGAGUGAUUGACAUGAUUUUCGAUUCAUUUUGGUAUCAUUUAUGCAAUAUUGUGGUUUUUGAUGGCUUCGAGAGCCUUAUUUUGGACAUAUGUGGAUAUCUUAUGAUUCGUGCAACGGAUAGACGAAUAGAUUGCACCAGCAGCUCUAAAAAAUUGAUUUUAGGCUAGGUAGACCUUUGGUUUGGGUCCCGGUGCAACCAAGCUCAUUUCGACCUAUUGGUCGGAAAGUUGGAAAAUUAAAACUAUAGGUGUGGAUCCCACAUUUGAUCUAAACGACCUCGACUGAAAAAUUUGACUUUGUUAGCAGAUUUGAAAAGUAAGAUUGCAGGUUCAAGUAUAGCAAACCGAUUUUGACUUUCCAGGUAGGUUAUGGCUUAACUCUUUCAGAUUGCGAUGAGUAGUAAAUGAUGAUACAAAAUGCAUGUUAAGGGUAGAAACUAAUUUUCGCGCCCCAUUUUCCUCGCGGAAGGCGGGAUUUGACUCGACAAAUCUCUUGGGAUUGCGUCUGAAACGAAGGGUGUGAAGAGUCACCACCUAACGUAUUAAGGUGCAUUAGGGCACUGGUCUAGGCUACUAUGAACAUAUUUUGUCGUUUUGUCUUAGUUCACCAGAGUUCGGGUAAGGGUUCAAAUUACCUCAAAAGGAAGGUGUUAGGCACCUUUCAAGGUCCACAAAGGUGGUUCCCAGCCAAAUUCAUACUUUACAUGGGGAUUCUAUGUGAUCAAAUAAAGGUCGCUUCUUUUAUUAUUAAUUUACUAUUUAGCUAAGCGAUAAUAUAAUUAAUAAGCAAACACAUGUCAUUUGUUAAUGCUAAUUGUCGAUUAUCUAAGUGAUAAAAUAAAUAUGAAACAUAGAAAUAAGAUAAGCGAGGAGAAAGAAACGACAUAAUUUAUAAUAAAAAGGGGACUGCUUUAUAAUAAACUAGCUACCCUAGAUAAAUAUGUAAAAUAAAUAAAAAGACUAAAAGAAAUCGUCCGAGUCAAACAAAGAGAUGUUUUGGCUUUAUUAGGAUCAGAAACCCAACUUGUUAAUCAUCAUCCGACCCAAAGGCCGAACUCUUAGACAAGUAAUAAUGUCAUUAGCCUCACCGUUAAUAUUUGUUGGGAUCAUCAUUUCCGAAAAGGGCUACCCGUCCCACCCCGUCAAGGCUGGAUGUCAAGUCUAAGGGCGUUCUAUGACAAGGACAAAACUAACAUUUUUAGUAAUACUUAUCGUCCCAACUAUCGUCCAAGAGGUAUUGAACUUUAUUAUUUUGGAUUUGUGUUCUAAACUAAAAGAAAGCUAUGUUGCCUAGGACUCGAAACGCAAAUAUAUUGGACAACAAGUAGCACGUAAUAAUCCCAAGUUAGCCUCUUGAUUAAUUAACGUUUAUUAACGUGAUAGCAUGCGAAGACAGACAAUUAUAUAAUACGGCAUUAACCUAUAGGCAUGAUGUCUAAAUGUUCAAUCAAGUGGUGAUAAAGGACAACUAUGAUUCGUGCAUGCAACAAUGUAAUGCGUGUUCAUGAAGGUGUCACAAGUGUGGUAAAUGUGUCGAGAAAUAUUUUGUGAAUUGAGUGUUGCAAACUAAUGAGAAUAGAAGAAAUCAACAAGAAUAUUAAAAAGCACAAACAUGUUAAGGAUGCCAUAAUAUACUUACUCUAGUAUUUAAACGUACCGAAAAGUGCUUAAAAGUAUGUAUUUUUAUAUAACAACAAUUGUAUUAUUGUAGGAAUUUCAUAGUGACAUGUUGAGAGUGUAUCAAUCAUACUAAAGAUGUCUUAAAGCUAACAUUUUGACAUUCUGAUAUAUUUAAACAUGAUAGAGAUAUGCCAACAUACAGAAACUUUAACAUGCUAGAAGUAGUUAUGACAUGCUGAAAUUUAUUAGAUGCGCAAAAUUUUAAUGUUCUAAUGUUAAUAACAUGCUAAAUUUGUAUAGAUACACAACAUGAUUUAAAUGUGAUGAAAUUUAUUUAAACAUGCUGAGAUUUGUCUUAAUGUGCUAAAAUAUCAUAUUAACAUUCUGAAAAUUGCAAUAGCCCAAAAUAAUGAUAUGCGAAAAAGUGAAUGUAUUAACCUAUUUGAACUUAAUUUAACAUGCUUAAAAUAAGUUAACAUGCUAAGCGAUAAUUACCUCAACAUGUCAAUAUGUUUAAGAUUCACUAUACCACAUACCAGAAGAUACAUUGAUAUGUUUAUGUCGAAUUAAUGUGCCCGUUAUGCUAUAAUACAUAAUGUCAGGUUAAUAUGCUUAUAUUCGUGUUAACGUGAUAGGUAUAUUAAAUCGUUCACACCUAAUACUAAAAUUAUGUUAAUAUAUCGGGAUUGACUCAAAUUCGUUAGCAAACAAAUUAAGCAUUGCAUAUGUUAAUGAGUCCUAGAUGAUCCACAUAGCACGUAUUGCAUAUAAUCCUAGUUUGUCCCUACUUAUACCGUUCACAGAGCACAUAAAUUUCCGUCCCCCAAAUCAGUCCCCAGAAUUAUAUUAUUACAAUGAUAGGAAUGUUUUACAAUAAUAUUACAGACCAAAUAGUAAUAAAGGAAAAACAACUAGUUAAAAAAUACAUAGUUUAAAUAUUCCGGUGAUUCUUUGGAACUUGUAAGUGUCUAUUUACCCUGCGAAACAUAUUAUAAUAGCAAGUAGACAGGAACACAUAGUAGCAAACAUCAAAAUAUUCCUAAAGACAUACUUUCUAAAGGUUUUCAGAACACGAUGCAAUUAACACACAUAGAGAAUGAAAAAUUACAUCGUUCAAGAACUCACCAGUGAAUAGCAGUACAGAGAGAAUAAGAACAACAGGAGCCAAAAGUCAACCACAUGUAAUAGUUGAAGUAUGCAAGAUAUUAACAGCAGCCUCCAAAGAGAAACACUUUAAAAUAUUUAAUUACCUUAGAGAGUAGUAGUAGUAAUUGUAAUGUCAAAGCUUAAGAGUUUAAGAGCUCAAGAGCCUAUGAACUUGUGAAAUUGAGAAGUGAGAGCUUGUGAACUGGUGAACUUAUCCCUUAAUGAAAAAAAAGGAAUGAGUUUAUAUAGUAAAAGGGAUUAGAGGGUAAUAGGAGAAAAAUAUUUUUCACUCAAUCAGAAUCAAUUAAGGAGAGGAAAAUAAGCUGAGAAUCAAUCCAUAAUAUUAUUUUCCUUAGUUAAGUAAGGAGAAUCAAUUGUAAGCAGGUUUACCAUAAAUAGACGUGAGAUGAGUACAAAGAAGUACUGAUUUAGGAGGGAAUAAGUACUAACGGUAGAAAACAUAUCAAUGUUGGUAAUUACCAUAAAUCAGUCCAGUUUUUUAAAAAACCUUUCCAUACCACACAAGAAUAAAAGAUUAGAAAAAUCACAGACAUACCCAGUUUACCUAAAAUAAGCAAGGACAAGAGUUAACACACAUUUGAUCCCAAUCAUAUAUCAGUAAAAAAAUCCCACUUGAUUGUAAAUAAACUGGAUCCUACUAUUAUCAGCUGUUGUAAUACUUUUAGCUCACCAAAUAAAGAUAGCUGCAAAUUCAAAUUUUAAACAGAUAACCCAAGCACAUUUUAGACCACACAGUAACAACUUCUACCCGUAAGGGAAGGAUAUCAGAUUUAGAGGUAUCAUACUUCAAAUUAUGAAAUUAAAAUAAUGAAACUUGGGGCUUUGAAUAGGUAUGUCAGUCUGGAGAUGAACAUAAGCCCAAAAAUUAACAAAUAAGAACAAAAUUCAGAGUCACAAUAUCUUAAUUUAUAAAGUUGCAGGGCUGCAAUUUGUAAUCAUAGCAAACAAUCAUGCAUGUUAACCAAAGCAAACAACCAUGUAAUUAAGAGUUUGAGAAAUCAAACCAGAUAGAAAUAGUCGAUGUUUAUCGAAAGCCUCGCUGGUUAUGACAACUAGAUAGUGACAAUGGGGUCUUUCCUCGACUAGGGAGGGAAGAGUGAAGCAGAGGCGGCAGUGAGAAGACGGAUUGAUUGGACGGUGGGGAGGUCCGUUGCUGUUGGUGCUGCUUUGGGCAACUGGCGUGGCGCCAUGGUUGCUGGUGAUUGAGGAAAGGCGACGCUGGGGUUGACUCAUUGCUUUUGGUGGCAGCGUGGCUGCUAGGAGUACGGAGAUGAUGGCGUUGUUGUGGCCAUCGUUGAUGGAGGUGCCAUGGAUGGUGCGGCGGUAGUACGUCGAUCGGAGGAUGAAGGCGGCUCGUGGUAGCUGUUGUUGCUGCUUCGCGGUGGCACUUAGUUCGCUAGAGGAGAGAGAUGACAUGGAGAAGGAGAAGGAGAGAGGGGCGGCGCCGGCGUUGAUAUGGCCAACAGCUAUGGUUGCCGAUAGAGAGGGGAUUAGAGAAAGAGAAGAGAAGUAAAGAGAGAAAAAGGAGAGAGGGGUGUUGGAGGCAGAUGAAAAAAUGUUUUUGGAAAAUUAGGGUUUUGGGUUAUUAAAAAGGAAAGAAAAGUUUGAGGCAUCUCAGUCUUUUGAUUAAUUUUGAUCAACGCUUGAGAUUAAAAUAGGAUUAAUAACUUGAUUUGGUUAAAAAUGAAACACUUGUGGCUAUAUUUGACAUGAAAUAGCCAAAAUUGACUAGAUUUGUAAAGAUUAGGCUAUAAGAUGAAUAAAUUGGAUAAAUUGGUUUUUAAAAUUAGGUUGUUAUUUCAAUUAAAGUAGAGAUAGUAAAUAAGAAUAAUAAUAAUUGAAUAAAUAAUAAUAAUAAUAAUAAUAAUAAAAUAAUAAUAAAUAAUUAUAAUAAUCACAAAUAAUAAAUAAUAAUAUAUAAUAACAAUGUCAAUAAAUAAUAAUAAAUAAAUAAAUAAAUAAUAAUUAUAUCAAGAAAUAGUAUUAAAUAAUGGAAAACUAUAUAAUGUAUUUACAAAAAUAUGAGUGUGCACGAUUACGUGAAAAAAAUAAACUUAAUUAAUAAAAAUUGCGUAAAAUGUCAUAAUUGAUUUUAAAAUGAUGCUAAAAGAUAAUAAAAUAAUUUAUGUAUUUUUCUAAAUUAUGAAUGAGACACGUUAGUAUGUAUUAAAAAUGAAAAUAAUAUGUAAAAAAUAUUAAUAAUUAAGGUUAAAUAAUUUUAAUAAAUAACGGCAUAAAAGUGAUAUCGGGAGGUCAAAAUUGGGUGUCAACUGCUGCCCCUUCUUUGUUUGAGAAUGAUGAAAGAAUUGUCAAGCAAUGAAAGUUGACGUAGUGGCCAAUUUUGUCCGACCGAGAUGAUAGUUCGCUAGAAAGAAAGCACGAAAAGUGUUAAAAAUAGUGUGGCCGAGACUUUGGCUUUAAGUCACCUACAUAUCUCUGUUUUUACGAGAAUCGGGACAUUUGAAGUUCUAGAUUUAGGAAUGAACAAUAUUCCUAAAAAAUAUUAAUGACAAAGGUUGGGGCAUUGAUAAUGAUAUCAUGGAUCGGUGAGGCAGUAAUGAAUAGGAUUUGAAGUAAUUUGAAAACUUUAAGGUAGGUGAGGUGAUGAAUGAGUUCAUAUGGUGGAUGAAUAGAUGGAGUAAUAUUCUGAAAACAGAAACGAAUAUUGUCUCUGUCUGUUAUUUCUUCUCCGUUACCUACAUAUUUCACGGUAUACUUGAUAACCAAGGUUAAGUCAUGUAAAUGAUAAGCAUUUUAAAACAUAAAGUGAGUGUAAGAAGUAAAGAAAGCAUAUCUGUUGUACUAUUAGAUGACAUUGGAUCAUGUCGUUGGAUCAGCUGUUUGGCCUCUCAAUAUGAUGCCGGAUCGGCUGUUGAACCUUUCAAUGUUGAAUCAGCUAUUUGGUUUCUCGAUAUGACGUAGGAUCAGCUGUUGAACCUCUCGAUGUUGGAUCAGCUGUUUGGCUUCUCAUCGUGGGAUCAACUUUUGGGGCUUCUCCGUAUAUUAUGAAAUCGUGGUAUCAACAUUUGAGUUUCUCCAUUGUGGGAUAAGCAUUGGGAUUUUCCAUCAUCAGAUCGGCAUUUGAGCUUCUUCAUCAUCUGUUCAGCAUUUGGGCUUCUCCAUCGUCGGAUCAGCAUUGGAGCUUCUCCAUCGUCGGAUCAGCAUUUGGGCUUCUCCAUUGUCGGAUCAACAUUAGAGCUUCUCCAUUGUCGGAUCAACAUUGGGGCUUCUCCAUUAUCGGAUCAGCAUUGGAACUUCUCCAUUAUCGGUUCAGCAUUUGGACUUCCCCAUCGUCGGAUCAGUAUUGGAGCUCCUCCAUCGUCGGAUCAGCACUUGGGCUUCUCCAUCGUUGGACCAGCAUUGGAGCUUCUCCAUUGUCGGAUCAGCAUUUGGGCUUCUCCAUCAUUAGAUUAGUAUUGAGCUUUUCUAUCGUCGGAUCGGUAUUUGAGCAUCUCCAUUGUCGGAUCAGCAUUAGGCUUCUCUAUUGUUGGAUCAGUAUUUUAGCUUCUCUAUCAUGAAAUCGUGGCCCGUACCUGCCACUUGUAUCUCGACUCGACAGAAAUAAUUAGUGAAUAUAUGUUUGUGCAUAGAGGAUUGAAUAUUAUAGAAAACAAACAUAACGGUAAAGAUAAUGAAAGAUAGAAAAACGUAUUUGUCUUGUUGUCGGAUCAACUGUGCGGCUUCUCAUCAUGAUGUUGGAUUGUCUAUCGUGUUCCUUCAUGAUGAAGUAAUUUCUGUCACCUUAUAUCGUUGGGUCUCUUGUGAUGGAGUGAUUGUUGUCAUCUGUACCUGUUACUUGUUCCUGUACUCAAAGAAAAGUCAUCAGUCAAAAAAAUAUGAAUUUGUACCAUGCUCGAGUCGACUCCUUGGUCGUUGUUUUCUACUCCAUGAACCGUUGGGAUUUGUACUCUAUCGUGAUGAAAUUUUUGAGAAAUUCUCAAAAAAAAUUUCCCCAGUAUAGAAUGUAAAGCACCUUUGGCACGUCAUUUGUGAAUGAAUAUAUUGUUUACUUGUGAAAUUUUUGAGGAAUUCUCAAAAAUUUCUGCCCCAGUUUAGAAUGAAAGGCACCUUUUGCACGUCAUUGUGAAUUGAUAUAUUGUUUAAGUGUAAAAUUUUUGAGGUUUUCUUGAAACCUCAAAAAUUCUGCCCUAGUUGGAGCCGUAUAUUCCUGCACAACUCAAAGAAAAUAUUAGUUCAAGAGAAAUGGUUGUCCUACAUUUGAAUGCUCAAGAGUUGGGUUCAUUAGCUUGACAAUUUGGAUGUGUAAAAAUUUGAAAGAGAGGGGAAAGCAAAUGUUUUAUUAGAUAAAGACCAAACCCAAAGUGGGCUGCCUACGUAUCCAAAUAGAAGUCAGGUCAAAUGUAGUUCGUGAGGGUAAAGCGAGGAUAAGGAGGCGCAACGUUUAUCUUGAGCGAGGAGAAGGAGGGUUAGAGAAUUUUUGAAUGUUGAGCAUAUUUGUCAUAUUGUAGAUUUUCAAUCGAGUCGAUGUUCAAACGCUAGACAACCUUUAAAUAAUAAAUAGUAAACUAAAAUAAAUAUCAGCGUACUCAAUGCGAAAAGAGAUAGUAUGUCAAUAUGAGUCAUUUUGUCCAGGAGGACUUUAGGAUGAAUGUGGGCUAGAACUUAAGCUUUAAAAAUAAAUUGAUAUCACAAGAUAGAAGAUAGAUUCUAAUAGAUUCUAACAAAGACUUAGAUACCAAAUUCGUACUUGAAGCUGAUUGAGUAAAUAAGUGAAUAAUGAUAAGAUAUUGCAGAGAUGUGCAUAAAAAUGUUUAAAGAAAUUGUUUUGAACAAAUGGGAGAAUUGAAGAUUGACAAAGUUUUGAGCACUUUGAAGUAUUUACUUUGAAAUGUCUGAGAGUUUAAAAUAUUUUGAAAAGUCAUUUGAAUAAAAAACUUCUAAGUUGUACCCUUAUGACAUUAUGGAAAGGUAAAAGAUAUGGAGAAUAUGAUUUGAUAGAAGAAUUGUUGGAAUGAUAACGAUUGUUUCAUAUUUUCAAAUAUUAGGACGUUUUGUAAAAGAAAGGGAAAAGGAAGACCGCAUCCUUACAAAGGAUUGCCUACGUAUCUUGUUGGAACAAGAAUCAGGUCAGACGUAGUUCAAAAAUUUAAGAGUUGUGGAAGCUGAAUAGCGGGUGGGGAUGAAUUGGAGGAUAUUGAAUAGGCCCUAAGAGUGUAUUUUAGGGUCCUAACAUAACAAGAAUUUUACGAGUAACGAGCUCUAAAGUGAGGAACACUAAAUGUAAGGAGUGACUAAGGCAAGAACGAAACAACAAGAUAGGCAAGAUGUCAAUCCAUACAUAAAAAUGCAACACAUAGCAAAUAAGUGUGAGUCCUCUUAAGGUCGUGAACCUCUUUGGACUUUGAAUGAGACUAACACUCAACAUGUUAAGGAAACCAAGGCACCCUACGUUGAAUGAUAUGCAUAUUCCUUAGUAAAAGGAAUAUGUAGCCAAAACCUAAAGUACAAAAGUGGGUUUAUGACAUAGUUACCUCAAGUGGUCAACUCGAGAGUGGGAAAGCUUGUGGCUAUCAACACACCGCUGAUCGACUGAUCCACAAGACAUUUCUCGAAGGGUCUUUUAGGAAUGAACGUCCGUGUAUUCACGUAACCAUUCAUAAGAGAAAACAAAAGAGGUUCCAAGAGGAGUAAAGUAUGAGCACUAUGCCAGUUAUAUAAAGCAAUAAUAGGCAGCACAUAGGAACACAUAAUAGCAUGCUUUAGCAAAAAUAAAAAUAUAUAAUCAAUAAAGGAAAAAGUAGGAUGGAGGAACGUAAAUGACACAUAACAAAGGAAAGGAGAAGGGAUUAUCAUGCAUAAAUUGAUCAUCAAUAAAAGCAAAAGUAGUCAUGAAGAAACAUGAAUAACACAUAAACAUAGAGAAGGAGAAGAGACAAAUAAAUAAUGAUGUGAAUAAACAUUAAACAUAUAUAGAAUGGCCUAUGUCAAAAGCAAGCAUAAAAAUAAAUAAAGAGAAUCCCACAUAAGCACAAGUUCGUAAUGUUCAGAACCUAAUAAUCCCCAGCAGAGUCGCCAUUCUGUCGCACCCCAUUUUUCUCGCGGAAGGCGGGAUUCGACUCGACAAAAUCUCUUGGGAUUGUAUCUGAAAGGAAGGGCGUGAAGAGUCGCCACCUAACAUAUUAAGGUGCAUUAUAGCACUGGUCUCGACUACUAUGAACAUAUUUUUUCAUUUUGUCAUAGAUCACCAGAGUUUGAGUAAGGGUUCAAAUUACUUCAAAAGGAAGGUGUUAGGCACCUUUCGAGGUCCACAAUGGUGGUUCCUGGCCGAAUUCAUACUUUACAUAGGGAUUCUAUAUGAUCAAAUAAAGGUCUCUUCUUUUAUUAUUAAUUUACUAUUUAGCUAAGCGAUAAGAUAAUAAAUAAGCAAACACAUGUCAUUUGUUAAUGCUAAUUGUUGAUUAUCUAGGUGAUAAAAUAAAUAAAAACAUAGAAAUAAGAUAAGCGAGGAGAAAGAAGCGACAUAAUUUAUAAUAAAAAGGGGACUGCUUUAUAAUAAACUGGCUACCCCAGAUAAACAUGUAAAAUAAAUAAAAAGACUAAAAGAAAUUGUCCGAGUCAAACAAAGAGAUGUUUUGGUUUUAUUUGGAUCAGAAACCCAACUUGUUAAUCAUUAUCCGACCCAAAGGCCGAACUCUUAAACAAGUAAUAAUGUCAUUAGCCUCACCGUUAAUAUUUGUUGGGAUCAUCAUUUUCGAAAAGGGCUACCCGUCCCACCCCACCUAGGCUGGAUGUCAAGUCUAAAGGCGUUCUAUGAUAAGGACAAAACUAACGUUUUUAGUAAUACUUAUCGUCCCAACUAUCGUCCAAGAGGCAUUGGACUUUACUAUUUUGGAUUUGUGUUCUAAACUAAAAGAAAGCUAUGUUGCCUAGGACUCGAAAUGUAAAUAUAUUGGACAACAAGUAACACGUAAUAAUCCCAAGUUAGCCUCUUGAUUAAUUAACAUUUAUUAACGUGAUAGCAUGCGAAGACAGACAAUUAUAUAAUACGGCAUUAACCUAUAGGCAUGAUGUCUAAAUGUUCAAUCAAGUGGUGAUAAAGGACAACUGUGAUUCGUGCAUGCAACAAUGUAAUGCGUGUUCAUGAGGGUGUCACAAGUGUGGUAAAUGUGUCGAGAAAUAUUUUUUGAAUUGAGUGUUGCAAACUAAUGAGAAUAGAAGAAAUAAACAAGAAUAUUAAAAAGCACUAACAUGUUAAGGAUGCCAUAAUAUACUUACUCUAGUGUUUAAACGUACCGAAAAGUGCUCAAAAGUAUGUAUUUUUAUAUAACAGCAAUUGUAUUAUUUCAGAAAUUUCAUAGUGACAUGCUGAGAGUGUAUAAAUUAUACAAAAGAUGUCUUAAAGCUAACAUUUUGAUAUGCUGAUAUAUUUAAACAUGAUAGAGAUAUGCCAACAUACAGAAACUUUAACAUGCUAGAAGUAGUUAUGACAUGCUGAAAUUUAUUAGAUGCAUAGAAUUUUAAUGUUCUAAUGUUAAUAACAUGCUAAAUUUGUAUAGAUACACAAAAAUAUAUUUUAAACGUGUUGAAAUUUAUUUAAACAUGCUGAGAUUUGUCUUAAUGUGCCGAAAUACCAUAUUAACAUGCUGAAAAUUGCAAUAGCCCAAAAUAAUGAUAUGCAAAAAAAGUGAAUGUAUUAACCUAUUUGCACUUAAUUUAACAUGCUUAAAAUAAGUUAACAUGCUAAGCGAUAAUUACCUCAACAUGUCAACAUGUUUAAGAUUCACUAUACGACAUACCGGAAGAUACAUUGAUAUGUUUAUGUCGAAUUAAUGUGCCCGUUAUGCUAUAAUACAUAAUGUUAGGUUAAUAUGCUUAUAUUCGUGUUAACAAGAUUGGCAUAUUAAAUCGUUCACACCUAAUACUAAAAUUAUGUUAACAUAUCGGGAUUGACUCAAAUUCGUUAGCAAACAAAUUAAGCAUUGCAUAUGUUAAUGAAUCCUAGAUGAUCCACGUAGCACGUAUUACAUAUAAUUCUAGUUUGUGCGUACUUAUACCGUUCACAGAGCAUGUAAAUUCUCUCCCCCCAAAGCAGUCCCCAGAAUUAUACUACUACAAUGAUAGGAAUGUCUUACAAUAAUAUUACAGAACAAAUAGUAAUAAAGGAAAAACAACUAGUUAAAAAAUACAUAAUUUAAAUAUUCUGGGGACUCUUUGGAACUUGUACGUGUCUGUUUAACCUGCGAAACAUAUUAUAAUGGCAAGAAGACAGGAACACAUAGUAGCAAACAUCAAAAUAUUCCUAAAGACAUACUUUCUAAAGGUUUUUAGAACAUAGUGCAAUCAACACACAUAGAGAAUGAAAAAUUACAUCGUUCAAGAACUCACCAGUGAACAGCAGUACAGAGAGAAUAAGAACAAUAUGAGCCAAAAGCCAAGCACACGUAAUAGUUGAAGUAUGCAAGAUAUUAACAACAGUCUUCAAAAAGAAACACUUUAAAAUAUUUAAUUGCCUUAGAGAGUAGUAGUAGUAAUUGUAAUGUCAAAGCUUAAGAGUUUAAGAGCUUAAGAACCUGUGAACUUGUGAACUUGAGAAGUGAGAGCUUGUGAACUUGUGAACUUGAGAAGUGAGAGCUUGUGAACUUGUGAACUUAUCCCUUACUGAAAAAAAUGAAUGAGUUUAUAUAGUAAAAGAGAUUAGAGGGUAAAAGGAGAAAAAUAGGUUUUCCACUCAAUCGAAAUCAAUAAGGAGAGAGAAAUAAGCUGAGAAUCAAUCCAUAAUAUUAUUUUUCUUAGUUAAGUAAGGAGAAUUAUUUGUAAGCAGGUUUACCGUAAAUAGACGAGAGAUGAGUACAAGGAAGCACUAAUUUAGGAGGGAAUAAGUACUAAUGGUAGAAACAUAUCAAGGUUGGUAAUUACCAUAAAUCAAUCCAGAUUUUUAAAAAAACCUUUCCAUACCACACAAGAAUAAAAUUUUAGAAAAAUCACAGACAUAUCCAGUUUACCUAAAAUAAGCAAGGACAAGAGCUAUCUUUCAAUUUCAUCCCAAUCAUAUGUCAAUAAAAAAUCUUACUUGAUUGUAAACAAACCGGAGCCUACUAUAAUCAGCUAUCAUAAUACUUUUAGCUCACCAAAUAAAGAUGGCUGGAAAUUCGAAUUUUAAAUAGAUGACCCAAACACAUUUUAGACCAAAAAGUAACAACUUUUAUCCGUAAGUGAAGGAUAUCAGAUUUAGAGGUAUCACACUUUAAAUUACGAAAUUAAAAUAAUAAAACUUGGGGAUUUUAAUAGGUAUGUAAGUCUGGAGACGAACAUAAGCCCGAAAAUUGACAAAUAGGAACAAAAUUUAGAGUCACAGUAUCGUAAUUUAUAAAGCUGCAGGGCUACGAUUUACAAUCAUAGUAAAGAAUCAUGCAUGUUAACCAAAGCAAACAACCAUGUAAUUAAGAGUUUGAGAAAUCAAACCAGAUAGAAAUAGUCUUUGUUUGUUGAAAGCCUCGCUAGUUAUGACAACUAGAUAGUGAUAAUGGGGUCUUUCAUCGACCAGGAAGAAAAGAGUGAAGCAGCGACGGCAGUGACGAGACGGAUCGAUUGGACGAUGGGGAGGUCUGUUCUUGUUGGUGCUGCUUUGGGUGAAUGGUGUGGCGCCAUGGCUACUGGUGAUAGUGGAAAGGUGGCACUGGGGUUGAUUCGCUGCUUUUGGUGGCGAUAUGGCUGCUAGGAGUACGAAGAUGAGGGCGUUGUUGUGGCCGUCGUUGAUGGAGGCGCCAUGGCUGGUGCGGCGAUGGUAUGUCGAUUGGAGGAUGAAGGGGACUCAUGGUGGCUAUUGCUGCUGCUUUGUGGCGGCGCUUGGUUUGUCGGAGAAGAAGGAUGAUGGAGAAAAGAAGGAAGAGAGGGGGGCGGCACUGACGUUGAUGUGGCCGGCAGCUAUGGCUGCCGAUAGAGAGGGGAUUAGAGGGAGAGAAGAGAGGUAUAGAGAGAAAGAGGAGAGAGGGGUAUUGGAGGCG
This 13323-nucleotide long non-coding RNA is filed under the name Capsicum annuum. RNAcentral's name for it is "long non-coding RNA (CANN_LNC014357)". Lineage: Eukaryota; Viridiplantae; Streptophyta; Magnoliopsida; Solanales; Solanaceae. The record is from RNAcentral.